This 774-nucleotide ribosomal RNA is filed under the name uncultured Neocallimastigales. Its description in RNAcentral is "partial large subunit ribosomal RNA". It matches the Rfam family "Eukaryotic large subunit ribosomal RNA", at positions 22 to 616 of the family's 3401-position model. The record is from RNAcentral. Lineage: Eukaryota; Fungi; Neocallimastigomycota; Neocallimastigomycetes; Neocallimastigales.
CUAUACAUGACUCUGCGUAUAUCAAUAAGCGGAGGAAAAGAAACUAACAAGGAUUCUCCUAGUAACGGCGAGUGAAGCGGGAAGAGCUCAAAUUUGAAAUCUUAAAGGGUUUCCCUUUACGAAUUGUAGUUUAAAGAAGUGUUUUCUGUUGAGGUUUUGGUAAAAGUUCUUUGGAAUAGGACAUCAUAGAGGGUGAGAAUCCCGUAUUUGACCUUUACUUUCAACUUUGUGAUACACUUUCAAAGAGUCGGAUUGUUUGGGAAUGCAGUCCAAAAUGGGUGGUAAAUUUCAUCUAAAGCUAAAUAUUGGCGAGAGACCGAUAGCGAACAAGUACCGUGAGGGAAAGAUGAAAAGAACUUUGAAAAGAGAGUUAAACAGUACGUGAAAUGGUCAAAAGGGAAGCGUUUGACACCAGUGUUGUUUUUCUGAAAAUCAAUUAAAGAACUGUUUAUGCUAAGCUGUUUAGACUUUAUCAGCUAACUGUUUAGUUUUGAGCUUUUCUUUAAUGCACUUUUCAGUUAACAAGUCAACAUCAAUUUCUUUUGCUGUAAAAAAGCUUGAGGAAGGUGGCUUGAGAUUCGUCUUAAGUGUUUAUAGCCUCUUGCCUAUGCAGUCGGAGAGAUUGAGGUCUGCAGCGUAGAUCCUUCGGGGCUAAAUGCAUUUGUGCUAAGUUAUAGCAUUUUAUAGACAACUUGUUGACUAUGAUUUGUCUUGUAGCUUACUCGCUUAUGUUAUUUUACCUACGCUUAGGAUGUUGAGCGCAUGUCUCUCUCU